AUUGAACGCUGGCGGCAUGCCUUACACAUGCAAGUCGAACGGCAGCACGGGGGCAACCCUGGUGGCGAGUGGCGAACGGGUGAGUAAUACAUCGGAACGUACCCAGUAGUGGGGGAUAGCCCGGCGAAAGCCGGAUUAAUACCGCAUACGACCUACGGUGAAAGCGGGGAUCGCAAGACCUCGUGCUACCGGAGCGGCCGAUGUCAGAUUAGGUUGUUGGUGGGGUAAAAGCCUACCAAGCCGACGAUCUGUAGCUGGUCUGAGAGGACGACCAGCCACACUGGGACUGAGACACGGCCCAGACUCCUACGGGAGGCAGCAGUGGGGAAUUUUGGACAAUGGCGCAAGCCUGAUCCAGCCAUGCCGCGUGC
Molecule: ribosomal RNA, 371 nt
Filed under: uncultured bacterium
Lineage: Bacteria
Description: bacterial SSU rRNA
Rfam family: Bacterial small subunit ribosomal RNA
Source: RNAcentral